GAUCUUGGCUCAGGACGAACGCUGGCGGCGUGCCUAACACAUGCAAGUCGAACGAAGCUCCCCGAUACAAGGCUUCGGCCAAGUUGAAGGGAUGACUUAGUGGCGGACGGGUGAGUAACGCGUGAGGAACCUGCCUUUCAGUGGGGGACAACAGUUGGAAACGACUGCUAAUACCGCAUAAUGUGCCUUAGGGGGCAUCCCUGGGGUACCAAAGCUUUAUGUGCUGAAAGAUGGCCUCGCGUCUGAUUAG
This 250-nucleotide ribosomal RNA is filed under the name uncultured bacterium. Its description in RNAcentral is "partial 16S ribosomal RNA". It matches the Rfam family "Bacterial small subunit ribosomal RNA", at positions 15 to 244 of the family's 1533-position model. The record is from RNAcentral.